This 5851-nucleotide long non-coding RNA is filed under the name Sus scrofa (pig). RNAcentral describes it as "lncRNA (ENSSSCG00025040642.1)". The record is from RNAcentral. Lineage: Eukaryota; Metazoa; Chordata; Mammalia; Artiodactyla; Suidae.
UGGCAUAUGGAGGUUCCAAGGCUAGGGGGUCUAAUCGGAGCUGUGGCCGCCAGCCUACACCAGAGCCACAGCAACGGGGGAUCCGAGCCGUGUCUGCAACCUACACCACAGCUCAAGGCAAUGCUGGAUCCUUACACUGAGCAAGGCCAGGGAUCGAACCCACAACCUCAUGGUUCCUAGUCAGAUUUGUUAACCAUUGCGCCACAACAGGAACUCCAAAAAAUUUAAUUUUAAAGUUUGUUAUGUCUGAUAUUAGUGUAGCCACUUUUGGUUACUGUUUGCUUAUUAACUAUUCUUUUACUUCCAACCAAUCUGUGUCUUUGAAUUGAAAAUAUGUCUCUUGUAGGCAGCAUAUAGUUGGAUUAUGUUUUCUAAAAAUCCAUUUUUGCCAAUCUCUGACUUUUGAUUAAAGUGUUGAGUCUAUUUAAAUGAAAUGUAAUUAGUGAUAAGGUAGGAUUUGUCUGCUAUGUUGUUAUUUGUUUCUUAUAUGCAUUACAUCUUUUUUCCUUUAUUUCUCCAUUAUUGCCUUCUUUUAUGUUAUAUGGAUGUUUUCUGGUGUACCAUUUUUUAUUCCCCACUGUUGCUUCUUCUUCUUCUUUUCUGGAAUUCUUUUUUUAGGGAGUUCCCUGGAAAUUACAAUUAACAUCUUAAUUUAUAAUGACCUAGUUCAGAUUAAUACCGACAUUUUCAAUCAUAUAUAAAAGCUUUGCUCCGAUGUAGCACUAUUCUUUCCCCUACUUUAUGCUAUUAUUGCCAUACAAAUCACAUUGUUAUGCAUUAUAAGCCUACCAACACAGUUUUAUAAUUAUUGCUUUGAUAGUUAUCUUUUAAAUCAGAUAGGGAAAGAAGAGUAACAAAUAAAAAAUAAAUUUACACUGUAGUAACUUUUACUACUGCCUUUAUUUCUUUGUGUGGAUUUGAGUUACAUCUAGUGUUUUUUCAUUUCAGCCUGAAAGACUCUCUUUAGUAUUUCUUGUAGAGCAGUUCUUCUAACAACAAAUUCACUCAGUUUCGUUUAUUUGAGAAUGUCUUAAUUCCUCCUGCACUUUUGAAGCAUAGUUUUUAGUGAAUAGAAACUGUUUGGUUGACAUUCUUUCUCUUUCAGCAUAUUGAAUAUUCCAGACCACUGACUUCUGGCCUCCAAGCUUUCCCAAAGAAGUCAGCUGUUAUAUUGCCAACCCUUGUAUAUAGCACAUCUCUCCUUUAAAGAUUCUCUCUCCGUCUUUAACUUUUCAUGGUUUAUGAUGUAUUGAGGUGGAGAUUUUUGUGAGUUAGAAUUCACUGAACUUCUUGGAUAUGUAGAUUAAUGUUCUUCAUAAAUUUGGGAAGUUUUUGGACAUUAUUUCUUCAAAUAUUCUUUCUGCCCCUUUCUCUUCUCUCCUCUGGGAUCUUAUCACCCGUGUGAUGGUAUACUUCACAGUGUCCCGCAGGUCUCUUACAUUUUGUCUACUCUUCUUCAUUCUUUUUUCAUCCUGUUCCUCAGACUGGAUAAUCUUGAUUGACCUACUUCUAAGUUCCCUGGUCCUUUCUUCUGCCAACUCAAAUAUACUGUCGGGUGUCUCUAGUGACCCAAAAGUUAUUAUACUUUUCAACUCCAGAAUGUCUAGUUGGUUCUUUUAUAUAUCUAUAUAUAUAUAUUUUUCAUUUUCUAUCUCUUUACUAUAAUGAAACAAUGUUCUCAUACUUUCCUCUAAUUCUCACACAUCCCUUAAACCACUGAUGGAUCCUCAGACCUAUUUCCUUAGUCCUGUCAUGUCAUGUAUGAGGUAGAGCAAAGUCCCACCUUGGAAGAACUCUUUUCUCCCUUAGCUCCACAUUAUUCCUGAAACCCAAGAGGGUAACUUAAAAGAUUAUGUUAUAAGUCUGUGAUUUUCUUUUCUGUGGUUGCCAAGGGGGUGGGGGAGGGAGAAGGACUGGGAAUUUGGGGUUAAUAGAUGCAAACUAUUGCCUAUGGAAUGGAUAACCAAUGAGAUCCUGCUGUAUAGCCCUGGGAACUAUGUCUAGUCACUGAUGAUGGAGCAUGAUCAUGUGAGAAAAAAGAAUGUAUAUAUGUAUGUGUGACUGGGUCACCUUCUCCAAUGUUCAAAGAGAUUUCAGCAGGAAAACAAAUGGCCAAGGCCAUGAACAGGCAAAGGCAAUAUCAGGAGCAGAACCUGCCUGGCCAGACUGGCCAUACUUUUCUGUCACUUCAGUUAUGAUCUUUAGCAGAUAUUUAUUUCAGUCUUUGUUCUGCUUAGACUGUGGUGCAGGGCUGCGAUCAAUAAUAUCUGGGCAUAUUUAGAAAUAUGAAUGGAGAUAAAAGAAGUAAAACCAGGAACCAGUAACUACGCUCAAUACUCCCAUGCACAGGGCCCCAGGCACACUUUUCUUCACACAUGCUUAUCAAGGGGCAUAAGCUACAGUAACAGAGAGCUGCAUGCAAUAUCUUCGAAGGCUUAGCUGAUAUCCCCUUUAUAAAGCUCCACAAGAGAAAUUUACUUUAGAACCAAGUAACAGAAAAAUCCUUGCUUCUUUUGAGAAACCAAUUGUCUCUUUCUGAUCACAGAGUUAUGAAAGCACAACUCCCUUUUCACGUUGACAAGGAGAAAGCUUAGAGUCACCUGUGAAGCUUAACUGUAGCAAUUAUAGCUACUGGGACUUUGGGCUCUUUCCCUGGUCCGAAUUCUUUAUUUCUAUUUCUAUACUGUCAAGAAUUUAUAACAUGAGUACUGAGCAUAAAUCACUUUAUUGAAAUGUAUGACAGGAAAAUCAUUCUUAUAUAUAUAUAUGCAGUACUGAAACAAGCUAAAAGGAACAAGAGAUAUUUUCCUUCUCUCAUCUGGAGGAAGUUUGGAGAAAGUCCCCUGAAGUUGAGAUGGAGCCUGGUUUAUGGAGGCACCUUGAGUGUUAAAGGAGAAGGCUUUUCUCCUUACAGUGCCCAGGGACAAGGAUGGGUGGGGGGGGCACCUCUCAGAAAGGACCUGAUGCUUCCAGCCUGAGCCCCCCAGCUCUCUUCACAUAGAAGCAGAGGAGCCAGUGGCCUGAAGAUCACAUGAGCCAGGACAUGACCAGGAUGGACCCCAAACAAAAGGGCCCUUUCUCAGUUCUCCAGUCCUCAUGAGAACUCUGAGGCUUUGGUACAAUCCUCAAGGAGUGGUUGGGGGUGGGAGACUCUCAAAAGAUAGAUUGAAUUUCCUGCCAGCUCAGCAGGUGGAAGCUUGGCACUGAUUAAAUUUGAUUUAGAGAAAUAAAGAAAUAUGACAUUUCUGGCACCCUACUGUUGUGGCCUGAAAUUCAUAUCUGCCACAUGGGAUAUAAAUAAAUGAAUGAAUGAAUAAACAAACCAGAGGCCAGAGUGCUUGGGAUGAAUUCCCAAUUUGCUGUGCUUCUACCAUUAGGGUCGUACAACCUUGAAACACAAGGGCUAAUGGAGAACUCAGCGUUUAGCACAAUAAAUACCAUCUGCAGGGACCGUACGGCAAGGAUGGAGGUUAAAAAAAAAACAAAACACAGUUUCAGACUUCGCAAAACUAACACUUUAACGUGGGCAGCACAUGUCAACAAUAAAACAUGAAUGAGAAGAAGGACAGCCAUACAGUCAUACAGCCAACUCUUCCUAAGGAUUACUUCACAUAAGACAUGAAAGGUGAGGAUGAGGAUGGCCCCCCAGCAGGCAGGAAGCAUACAGGCUGCUGAGGAAGAUGUGAGAAGCAGAAUAAUGACACACUAGAAGGAUACAUGCUAUAAAAAUAAUUUGCAUAAUGUGCUUUGGAAGGAGAGUCAUUUCUGUCUGAAGAACCGACGUCUUCCAAAAGGAAGGGGUGCUUCGAAGUCUUUGAAAAUGGAAAGGAUUUGAGCAGAAUAAGGUGGCCCGAGGGGCACUGCAAGCUGGGGUGAUGAAGGUGCAGGCCCACACCUGCUCAUGCUCAGAGAUGCAGGAGUGUAGUGAAUGUCUCAUCACGGAUGCCCCUCACAGGGCACAGGGAUGAAUGGAUAAGGAGUGCUGAGAAGGCCAGAAAGGUGUCUGUGGGCCGCUACAGACAGGGGUGUGGAUAUCAUGCUCAGGUGUUUAGUUGUAAGCAAUAGACAAGGUGAUGGGGGAUUACAGGUCUAUGAACAGAGAAGGGUCAUGGUAAGAACAAUGCUUUUGGCAGUUUGCUGGCAUAACUGCAUGUGGAAAGAUGCAUUAGAGAACAGGGAUAGUGUAGUUACAGGGAGAAGAGUUAAAACCUCCAUUAAAAUGUCCAUUAAAAUGUCCUGGGCACCUGAACUAUAAUGGAGGCGGAGGGUCAAGUAAGAAUGUGGCAGAUGCAAGGGAAUUCACAGGUAUGAAGUGAUGAGCUGGGGGGUGGCGGUGGGGACAAAGAGAAGGAUGACGGCAGAAUCAAGAGAUGACUCUGAGCCACUAAAAGAAUCAAAUAAUGCCAUUUGCAGUGACAUGGAUGAACCUAGAGAUGAUUUUAAGUGCAGUAAGUCAGAAAGGGAAAUACCAUAUGAUAUCACUCAUGUGUGGAAUCUAAAAGACGACACAUGGCGUUAUCAUUGCUGUGGCUCUGGUUUGAUCCCUGGCCCAGGAACUGCCACAUGCCAUGAGUGCAGCCAAAUAAAUAAAUAAAUAAAGACAAAUUAACGUAUCCAUGAAACAAAAACAGACUCACAGAUAGAGACUUGUGGUUGCCAAGGGGGAGGGAAGGAUUGGGAGUUUGGGAUCAGCAGAAGCAAACCAUUAUAAAUAGAAUGGGAAAACAACAAGGUCCUACUGUAUAGCACAGCCUCCCUGUAAUGGAAAAGAACAUGAAAAAGAAUAUAUAUGUAUAACUGAGUCUCUUUGCUGUAUGGCAGAAAUUAACACAACACUGUAAAUCAACCACACUUUAAUAAAAUUUUAAAAAGAGGGAGGACUCUGAGGUUUCAGGCCAAGGUGAAUGAAACAGGGAGUGCAGGAGGAUAAGGGUUUAGAUGGAAAAUGAUGAGCUCAAGGGAGAAGGCACUGAGCUUGAGGUCCCAGUGGGCCCUCCGAUGAGAUGCUUCACAGGUGCUUCAUGUACAGAGACAUAUAAGUGUGCACUCAAUCUUAUGCAUCUACAAACCGAUCUUUCAAAAGUGAUAAAUUAGUGGAAUCUAACAUUAAUAAAGUCAUCUAACAAAAGGAUUCUUCACCUUACAAAAGCGUUAAUAAUAGGAUCCUUUAAAUAGUUUGCUCCUCUGGCAAAUAUAAAAUAGGCUUUAAUAUUUUUUGAAAAGGUGACUUACACCUCUCUUUUCAAAAGCUCAUCUAUGUGUUAAGUAAAGCAUAUCUAGGUAUGAAUAUGGGAUGAACUGGGAGACUUCAGCCAGGUGGAAUUAAUCAAGGCAGAUGUCAUGAAGGAGGAGAUGAAUCUUAAAGGGAAGAUUGAAAGGGUAGCUCACUGCAUUGGUGAAGAGAAAAGAUUGAGGGUUCAAAACCAAGGGGGGACUGUCAUCUCACAGGACAGGUAAUAACCCAUGGCCCUCCCACUCCUUUUCCUUCCCAGGGAUGGAACCAAUGGGGUGGCUGGGGGAUAGGGAGUCCAGCUUCGCCCACAGCCUUUCCAUCUCUGUGGAUGGCAAUUCCAUCCAAAGGUCAGCCGAGGUGAAAACCUUGGGUUAUCCUGCACUCUCUUCCUCUCUCUCACACCCCGUACCCAAUCCAUCAGGAAAUCCUCUUGGUUCUCCCUUUGAAACACAUCCAGGAUCUGCCUCUUCUCUCCACCUUGACUGCUGCUACCAACUUGAUCCAAGCCUCAGUUAUCUCACAGCCUUGGAGCCUGGAUUAUAUCAACCUUCAUACUCUUGCCCCUUGCUAACACCAAUUUUCAAUACAGCAGCAGUUCUUUUUAAAAACAAGUCAGGU